ACGGAGUGGUUGGGGCUAGAUCUA
RNAcentral lists this non-coding RNA (24 nucleotides) under Mus musculus (house mouse). Lineage: Eukaryota; Metazoa; Chordata; Mammalia; Rodentia; Muridae. The record is from RNAcentral.